CAAAGACUGCCCUGGCUACAGCCCAGGACUGGCAGUAAAUACAACCAGCUUUGGGGAGGAAUCUCCCUCUGGGGAAUGUGGAAUCACAGAUGCUGACAGCCCAAAGGAGGCACUGGAAACAGGAUCAUGGAACUUUGAAGCCGUGAGGGAGGAACUUUCUGUUCCCCUGAAGUUUCUGAACUGCUUCUGCAAGUGUGGUCUGGGAACGGUAACAUCAUUAUCUGGGAGUCUGUUGGAAAUGCAAAUUCCUGGGUCCCAACUAGAACUACUGAAUCAGAAUCUGUUGGGAGGAGGGUCCAGCAAUCUGUUUUGAAAAGCCCUGCAGCUGAUUCUGAUGCUUGCCAACAUGCAGGAAGCACUGGACUAUACCAUCUUGUUAUUAGACAACUAUGCAGGAAAAUAGCUGUGUUAUCAGACUGUAUUCAAAGGCCCUGAAACCUAAAUAUUUGCUGAUUCUGAUGCUUGCUAAAGUGCAAGAAGCACUGGGCUAUACCAUCUUGUUAUUAGACAACUAUGCAGGAAAAUAGCUAUGUUAUCAGGGCCUGUAUUCAAAGGCCCUGAAGCUUAAAUAUUUUAAAAUAUUUCUUACAGCUGGACAUGGCAGCUCACACCUAUAUUCCCAGCACUUUGGGAGGCCAAGGUGGAAGGAUCACUUGAACCCAGGAGUUGAAGACAAGCCUGGGCAACAUAUCAAGACCCUCUUUUAAAAAAAAAAAAAAAAAAAAAAAGCCAGGCACGGAGGCUCUCAUGCCUAUAAUCCCAGCACUUUGGGAGGCCACGGCAGGCAGAUCAUGAGGUCAGGAGUUCAAGACCAGCCUGGUCAACAUGGUGAAACCCUGUCUCUACUAAAAAUACAAACAUUAGCUGGGCAUGGUGCUAUGUGCCUGGUAAUCCCAGCUACUGAGGGGGCUGAGGCAGGAGAAUGGCUUGAACUCAGGAGGCAGAGGUUGCAGUGAGCCGAGAUUGUGCCACUGCACUCCAGCCUGAGUGACAGAGCAAGACUCUGUCUCAAAAAC
RNAcentral lists this long non-coding RNA (1016 nucleotides) under Homo sapiens (human). RNAcentral's name for it is "non-protein coding lnc-DHX57-1:1". The record is from RNAcentral. Lineage: Eukaryota; Metazoa; Chordata; Mammalia; Primates; Hominidae.